RNAcentral lists this non-coding RNA (149 nucleotides) under Chlorocebus sabaeus (green monkey). Lineage: Eukaryota; Metazoa; Chordata; Mammalia; Primates; Cercopithecidae. The record is from Rfam by way of RNAcentral.
GCCGGGCGUGGUGGCGCACGCCUGUAAUCCCAGCUACUCGGGAGGCUGAGGCAGGAGAAUCGCUUGAACCCGGGAGGCGGAGGUUGCGGUGAGCCGAGAUCGCGCCAUUGCACUCCAGCCUGGGUAACAAGAGCGAAACUCCGUCUCAA